CUCUCUCUCUCUCUCUCCCCAAUCUCGUCCUGCUCUUCUUCUUCCUCUUCAACACCAAAACUCCAAUCUCCUCCUCCUCUUCAAACCCUAACAUCUCAUCUCUACAUUCCCUUCUUUCACCCUCCUGGAUCGUGCCAAUCUCGCAGGUAUGUUAUUCACCAUUUCCUUCGCGCUUCUCUCCUUCGAACCUGCUCUUCGAAACGAGGAUACCAGCUCGAUUGCCGAUCAAAAAGUUGUAGGUUUUCUUAUCUUCUGGAUCUGCGAAUCGUUGAAAUUUCAGCGUUUCUGUUCGAAUCGGUUGUGGAAAUCGAUAAUAAGGUCUUCAUAAGCCCUAGAUCUGCAAAUCCACAGAUUACCAGUUAGAUUGCAGCAAAACAACGACCACAAUUUUGCUGGUUGACGCAAACAGAGGAUCCGUAUUCCUCUUUUAGACAGUGAACCCAGUUGGAGGGCAUUCCCAGGUCGGCCCCAGUCCAAAGAUUCCAAACCCCAAAGAAUUCAAACGGGGAAGACAACCAUUCCAUUGCUCAUGUUGACCAGAUGGCGACGACAACGGAAUCAGAAGGUGAGGAAGAAGUGAAGCUGGUGGGGAACGAGCAUCUAUUGGUGGAGAAUGAUCUUAGGGAGAUGGGAAAGAAGGCAGUUUGGAGUGUAAGCUCUUGCAAGCCCGGCAAUGGUAUCCAUUCCCUACACGAUGAUAACCUUGACACCUACUGGCAAUCAGAUGGUGCCCAGCCCCACCUUAUCAACAUCCAGUUCCAGAAAAAAGUCAAGCUCCAGGAAAUAAAAACUGUGGAAGUCGUGAAGCCAGUUGGGUGGGUUUAUAUAUCCUUAUCUGGAACUGAUCCUCGGGCCAUGGUGAAACUAGCACCAGGACUGCAAUACACCAGCAAGCUGAUGUAGGUGUAGAAGAAGAUUUGGAUAAGGCUAAACUAUCGAAGUUGAGAUCCAUGAUGGCCCGUACAACAUCAAGAACUGGAACUACAUUGCAUUGAUUGGCGCCAUCCACAAUGGAGAAGGCAAAUGUUGGACAGCCAAGCUGGGGCACGGUGACUAUUCUGCUGCAAAUACAAAGGUUUUGCGAAUGGUGAAUACAUUGGCUGUUGAUAAUGAGGCAAAACAUACUAUAGAGGCAUUACAAGCUGAAC
Molecule: RNA transcript, 1148 nt
Organism: Magnolia sinica
Lineage: Eukaryota; Viridiplantae; Streptophyta; Magnoliopsida; Magnoliales; Magnoliaceae
Gene name: anaphase-promoting complex subunit 10-like
Exons: 7
Source: RefSeq, a predicted model, not a curated record